RNAcentral lists this ribosomal RNA (254 nucleotides) under uncultured organism. RNAcentral describes it as "partial 16S ribosomal RNA". It matches the Rfam family "Bacterial small subunit ribosomal RNA", at positions 524 to 776 of the family's 1533-position model. The record is from RNAcentral.
UACGAGGGGUGCUAGCGUUAUUCGGAUUGACUGGGCGUAAAGGGUGUGUAGGUGGCAGAUUAAGUCUGUUGUUAAAUUCUUCAGCCUAACUGAAGGUAUGCAAUGGAUACUGGUAUUGCUAGAGAGUGAAAGAGAGAAGUGGAAUUCUCGGAGUAGCGGUAAAAUGCGUAGAUCUCGAGAGGAACACCGAUGGCGAAGGCAGCUUCUUGGUUCACUUCUGACACUGAAACACGAAAGCGUGGGGAGCAAACAGG